RNAcentral lists this small RNA (475 nucleotides) under Histoplasma capsulatum var. duboisii H88. RNAcentral's name for it is "Histoplasma capsulatum H88 hypothetical RNA". The record is from RNAcentral. Lineage: Eukaryota; Fungi; Ascomycota; Eurotiomycetes; Onygenales; Ajellomycetaceae.
UUUGGCUGGACGGGAAUUUCAGCAGGUUUUUUUGUACCUGCAAAUCCGCCUGGAGUCGAUGGAGCGCUUUCAGUUCACGGUUAGCAGCAGGCGGCAUCCACAUACAUGGAACAUUGAAAAAGAAAUCGGCCAGAGGCAUGACAAAAGUAAGCCUGGUGCUGGUGGCGCAUAAGCUGGGAAAAAUCCUACCUUGUGUGGAAGGUUUAUCCUCAUGGAGAUUGAUUGAGGUAGGGGAGGUAGGUAGGUACUUAGCUAUCUAGCUAGGAUUCUGUCACGCAGGUAGGUGGUGGCUUUACUCUAUGUUUCGUUUUUCUUGUUUUUCCUUUUUUUUUUCUCGGUAUGGAUCCGUGUUUGGAACACUUCGUUUCAGAUCUUUUGUGCGGGGGUUUUUUUUUCUUCCUUGAUUUGUUUUAUUUUCCCUUGGUGGCGACGGUCCGAGGGUUUGGAAGCUUUCGGACAUUCCGGAGGGUUCUGU